UACUUCUUCUUCUUUUUGGACACCUUGAGCUUCCCCUCGAUCAGCCGUUGGCCCUGUUUUUUUAUCUCGGCCCGGGAAGGGACGUAGCUAUGGUCCACGUCCGCAAACUGGAAGGUUUCUGCACAGACAAGAAAGGAGUGACUUUCCAGAGACCGACCCCCCUCCCCACCCUUACCCGUUUGCUUUUUUGCUUCUCUGGGCCUUCUCUUGCGUCUGGAGCUCAUCUCACAGAUGGACUGAUGACUGAAGACUCUCUGUGAUCUGACCCCUGCCCUAAGUCACCCAAGGCCAGGUGCCAAGGAACCAGGAUAUGCCAGGAUCACCCAUACUAGCCAUCCUUCUCUGUUCAUCCUACCCUGCCUUUGCGGCAGAAAUUCCACUAAAGGUCUGGUCUGAGCUCCCUUCUGGCCCAUACCAUGGCAGAGGGUAAGCAACCCCAUCUACCAUGAAGGGACCAUGUAUCACCUUCAGUCAAGAUGCUGUGGCUGGGAGCUCAAGGCCUGACAGUGGAAACUCAGGGCGAAGGCAUUAGCGGUUUCUCCUGGCCACCUUUCCAGACCUGCCCACCACGCUGCUUUCAGUACCCUGCUGCCCUGAAGCCCUUUCUCCCUCACUUCCACUGCAGAUGCUCUGCUCUAUGGGAGCCAUAGUGGGAAUGUGCUCGCUGGCGGAUAAUCUGAUGGUAGUGGUGGUGUUGGAUCAUUGAAAAGGCUUGGUGAAAAGACCCACCUCCCCACAACCUCCGAUCAGGUGUGAAAGGGGCGAACCCUGCCCAAGGGAGGGCACGGGGUGGGGAGCUGGGCUUUCACACAAGGGUGUUGGGCUCCCCUAGUCCUGCCCCUGCCACCAGGCCCUGAAGACAAAGUCAUUAUUGUACAUCUUAUCCACCACCCAGUCACCAUGUGUAAAAUGGCUUUGAUUCCCAACUUCAUGUUUACAGCUGUGUGAUAAAAACAUUACCUCAGAUCAUCGGUUUUCUGCUCUUUGUUAGAAAGUUUUCCUGUUUGUACACAGCCAUGUAAGGGCACGGACUAACCAAAGGCUCUUGCCCAUCCGGAGGUCCCACCCUUCUGAUGUAGUCCCACCCCUCUGUUGGAGGCCAGUCUCACCUGCUAAAGUGUUUUUCUCUUACAAAGACCCUCACCAAAGGAGACGCCCUUCCGGCAGAACCCUGCCUAAUCAGCGGUCCAGCCCUGAUACAGAAUCCCUGUCUGAAAUGUAGGACUCCGUCCCUUUUACAGAAUCUCCACGCCCUCCGGCGCAGACCCACGCCCCCGCCCGGU
This is a long non-coding RNA of Peromyscus californicus insignis, 1283 nucleotides long. RefSeq lists it as uncharacterized. NCBI's taxonomy places the organism in Eukaryota, Metazoa, Chordata, Mammalia, Rodentia, Cricetidae. The transcript is spliced from 4 exons. The record is from RefSeq and is a predicted model, not a curated record.